AUGAAUAUAUGAAAAAGGUUCCAACAGAGUGAGAGGAUGAGUUUCGAAGCCUCUAAAUCAUCUAACGCCAUCUUUGAUAGCCAUGUUAAUACAAAAAAUUUCCUUAGUCUCUCCCGUGCGCUCCCCUUGGGUUCCGGUGUGAAAUAGAAAAGUAAAAUUGACGGAACUCCACUGGAGAGACCCUUUGACUCGGCCAUGGAGGAUGACGACAACAUUGCGUCUGGAAUACCUAACUCAGGAGCGAAUGACUUCAUGCAGGUCUGAUUUUGGUCUUUGAACCUCAUCCCUCUAUCGUUUUGUUAUCCAUAAAUAUUAUUACUUUGAAAUUAUUGUGGGGCUGGUGGGAGAAGGUUUACUGAUGAAUCCAUAUUUAACAUAUAUUUUGGUUUUAUUUGAGUGGAUUUCAUCACAUAAAUUUACAUUUAUUCAUCUAAAUAGCAUAUUUUUAUGUUUUCUCCGUAAAUUAAGCUUAAUUGUGAAAACAUGUUAUUUUGGGCUUAAUUUAAUCAAUUUUAUCCCACUUUCAUUCUAUUGGAUGUCUUGAUGGUUUUGAUGAGUGAUUUCAGGUGUAAUAGGUUAGAAUGACUUGAUAAGAGUGGAAGAAAAGCAUGGAAUUGAGAGAAAACAUGAAGAAAUCAAAGGAAAGAAGCAUUUCAGCCUGUGCCCACGCACAUCUUCUGUGCCCAUGCACAAGGGUCAAAAUCAGCAUCUGUACCCACGCACAGAAUAAAAAUCAGCAAGUGUGCUCAUGCACAGCUUCGCUGUGCAUACGCAUAGGAGGAAAAUCAGCAUGUGUACGUACGCACAAGUCUCAGCACGUGACUCACUUAAUGCAAAUUGUUGGGGGCGAUUUCUGAGCCUCUAGAGCCCAAUUUUGGGACUCUCUAAAGCUAAUUCUUGCUAUAUCAAAGGAGGCCUCAUUCCAUGUGAAGGAGGGGGAGGGGGAGAAAUUAGGGUUAGUUUAGCAUUAUGUAGGUUGUUUUCUAGAGAGAGAAGCUCCUCCUUCUCUCUAGAAUUAGAGUUUCUUAGUUUAAUUUCCUUGUAAUUUCUACUUUUAAUUCUUGUUUUCAUCUAAUUUCUUCUACCUUUCUUUAUUUUAUUGUCUUAAUUUCCUUAUGUUAUCUUGUCAAUUUCUCAUUUUCCCUACUUUUUAUAUUUAUGAGCACUCUUGUUAUUUUAAUUUAUAUUUAAUGCAAUUUAUGUUUCAUGUCCUUUA
RNAcentral lists this long non-coding RNA (1216 nucleotides) under Arachis ipaensis. Its description in RNAcentral is "long non-coding RNA (AIPA_LNC001173)". Lineage: Eukaryota; Viridiplantae; Streptophyta; Magnoliopsida; Fabales; Fabaceae. The record is from RNAcentral.